RNAcentral lists this ribosomal RNA (468 nucleotides) under uncultured bacterium. Its description in RNAcentral is "partial 16S ribosomal RNA". It matches the Rfam family "Bacterial small subunit ribosomal RNA", at positions 28 to 507 of the family's 1533-position model. The record is from RNAcentral.
GACGAACGCUGGCGGCGUGCUUAACACAUGCAAGUCGAACGGAAAGGCCCUGCUUUUGUGGGGUGCUCGAGUGGCGAACGGGUGAGUAACACGUGAGUAACCUGCCCUUGAUUUUGGGAUAACUUCAGGAAACUGGGGCUAAUACCGUAUAGGAGCCCCCGCUGCAGGGUGGGGGUUGGAACGUUUCGGCGGUCGGGGAUGGACUCGCGGCUUAUCAGCUUGUUGGUGGGGUAGUGGCUUACCAAGGCUUUGACGGGUAGCCGGCCUGGGAGGGUGACCGGCCACAUGAGGACUGAGAUACGGCCCAGACUCCUACGUGAGGCAGCAGUGGGGAAUAUGGCACAAUGGGCGGAAGCCUGAGGCAGCAACGCCGCGUGCGGGAUGACGGCCUUCGGGUUGUAAACCGCUUUCGCCUGUGACGAAGCGUGAGUGACGGUAAUGGGUGAAGAAGCACCGGCUAACUACGUG